This 490-nucleotide ribosomal RNA is filed under the name uncultured bacterium. RNAcentral's name for it is "partial 16S ribosomal RNA". It matches the Rfam family "Bacterial small subunit ribosomal RNA", at positions 30 to 507 of the family's 1533-position model. The record is from RNAcentral.
AUUGAACGCUGGCGGCAGGCUUAACAUAUGCAAGUCGAGCGGUAACAGAGAGAAGCUUGCUUCUCUGCUGACGAGCGGCGGACGGGUGAGUAAUGCCUAGGAAUCUGCCUAGUAGUGGGGGAUAACUUGCCGAAAGGUAAGCUAAUACCGCAUACGUCCUACGGGAGAAAGGAGGGGACCUUCGGGCCUUUCGCUAUUAGAUGAGCCUAGGUCGGAUUAGUUAGUUGGUGAGGUAAUGGCUCACCAAGACCGCGAUCCGUAACUGGUCUGAGAGGAUGAUCAGUCACACUGGAACUGAGACACGGUCCAGACUCCUACGGGAGGCAGCAGUGGGGAAUAUUGGACAAUGGGGGGAACCCUGAUCCAGCCAUGCCGCGUGUGUGAAGAAGGUCUUAGGAUUGUAAAGCACUUUAAGUUGGGAGGAAGAGCAGUUAACUAAUAUUUGACUGUUUUGACGUUACCGACAGAAUAAGCACCGGCUAACUUCGUG